GAACAAUAUUUUACUGAAAAAAACCCCUCCAAAACUGUUAAGAAACUGUUUAUCCACAAUGCUUUGGGCUCCCUCCCACCUCAGCCUAAAUAGACCUUUCCCCCUUUUAAAAUUUUAUGUCACCUAAGGCUGCUAGAUAUAGCUGGGCCAUGAAGUGCACAUUCUGAAAAGCUCCAUUCUAUUGCCUUUAUCUAAAAUCUUUGGAAAUUGUGAUGGACACAGAAUUUCAGAUCUGUGUCCUGCUUAAUGCAUACCAAGGAAAAGUGUCAUUUUCAUAGUUAUUCUCCAGGGAAACAUGGAUUUUUACUCCAGUCAACUCCCAGCUCAGUUAAUUACCUCAGUGGAUUGCAAUAGGAAUGAGUAAGUCUGAGGAGUAAGAGCUGAGGGCAUGAUGUCUCCUCUCCAUGUGUGCCAGAGGUAUUUACUCCAGAGAAGCUCUGACCUAGUCCCUUGGAUCAACCACCAUUUAGUGGCUGGAAGCAGGGUGUGUUCCUGGAGCAAAUCUUAUUUUACCUUCACCCAAAUGGGAUCAAGUUCAUGUUCUCCAAGACAUAUUUGUAAUGUGAAUGGAAGCUUGACAGCUGAGGAAGAUUAUGAUCUUCUGUGUCCAUCUGAAGGAUCAGAGGUCCAGAAGGAGGACAGAGGCAGUACUAAUACCUUGGAGAAGUGCUCCUCUACAUGCAGAAGGAAAUCCUUACUAACAGCAUCCAGUUUAUUGCUAAUUGUCAAAGGAAAUAGAGGACAGGUAAUGCCACAAAGAUGACUAAGAAAAACAAUUAAAUAUGCAAUUGCAAAAGGCUGAAG
This 804-nucleotide long non-coding RNA is filed under the name Cyanistes caeruleus (blue tit). RNAcentral's name for it is "lncRNA (ENSCCEG00000020408.1)". Lineage: Eukaryota; Metazoa; Chordata; Aves; Passeriformes; Paridae. The record is from RNAcentral.